GGCCAGUUAGCUCAGUCAGUUGAGCAUAAUGCUAACAACGCUAAGGUUGCUGGUUCGAUUCCCGUUUGGUCC
RNAcentral lists this transfer RNA (72 nucleotides) under Apaloderma vittatum (bar-tailed trogon). It matches the Rfam family "tRNA". From Rfam's summary of the family: Transfer RNA (tRNA) molecules are approximately 80 nucleotides in length. Their secondary structure includes four short double-helical elements and three loops (D, anti-codon, and T loops). Further hydrogen bonds mediate the characteristic L-shaped molecular structure. tRNAs have two regions of fundamental functional importance: the anti-codon, which is responsible for specific mRNA codon recognition, and the 3' end, to which the tRNAs corresponding amino acid is attached (by aminoacyl-tRNA synthetases). tRNAs cope with the degeneracy of the genetic code in two manners: having more than one tRNA (with a specific anti-codon) for a particular amino acid; and 'wobble' base-pairing, i.e. permitting non-standard base-pairing at the 3rd anti-codon position. The record is from Rfam by way of RNAcentral. Lineage: Eukaryota; Metazoa; Chordata; Aves; Trogoniformes; Trogonidae.